AGCAGCCGCGGUAAUUCCAGCUCCAAUAGCGUAUAUUAAAGUUGUUGCAGUUAAAAAGCUCGUAGUUGAAUUUCGGGAUCGAUACGUCGGUCGUGCCUUCGGUACGCACUGGCGUUUAUCGAUUUCUCCCUUCUGACGAUCCAUGAUGUCAUUAAUUUGGUGUUAUGGGGAAUCAGGACUGUUACUUUGAAAAAAUUAGAGUGUUUAAAGCAGGCAUUAGCUUGAAUACAUUAGCAUGGAAUAAUGAAAUAGGACGUUCGAACCUAUUUUGUUGGUUUCUAGGAUCGACGUAAUGAUUAAUAGGGAUAGUUGGGGGCAUUAGUAUUCAAUUGUCAGAGGUGAAAUUCUUGGAUUUAUUGAAGACUAACUACUGCGAAAGCAUUUGCCAAGGAUGUUUUCAUUAAUCAAGAACGAAAGUUAGGGGAUCGAAGACGAUCAGAUACCGUCGUAGUCUUAACCAUAAACUAUGCCGACUAGGGAUCGGAUGAUGUUAAUUUUUUAAUGACUCAUUCGGCGCCUUACG
RNAcentral lists this ribosomal RNA (523 nucleotides) under uncultured Glomeraceae. RNAcentral's name for it is "SSU rRNA". It matches the Rfam family "Eukaryotic small subunit ribosomal RNA", at positions 569 to 1092 of the family's 1831-position model. The record is from RNAcentral. Lineage: Eukaryota; Fungi; Glomeromycota; Glomeromycetes; Glomerales; Glomeraceae.